RNAcentral lists this transfer RNA (69 nucleotides) under Nothobranchius kuhntae (Beira killifish). Its description in RNAcentral is "tRNA-Ala". It matches the Rfam family "tRNA". From Rfam's summary of the family: Transfer RNA (tRNA) molecules are approximately 80 nucleotides in length. Their secondary structure includes four short double-helical elements and three loops (D, anti-codon, and T loops). Further hydrogen bonds mediate the characteristic L-shaped molecular structure. tRNAs have two regions of fundamental functional importance: the anti-codon, which is responsible for specific mRNA codon recognition, and the 3' end, to which the tRNAs corresponding amino acid is attached (by aminoacyl-tRNA synthetases). tRNAs cope with the degeneracy of the genetic code in two manners: having more than one tRNA (with a specific anti-codon) for a particular amino acid; and 'wobble' base-pairing, i.e. permitting non-standard base-pairing at the 3rd anti-codon position. Lineage: Eukaryota; Metazoa; Chordata; Actinopteri; Cyprinodontiformes; Nothobranchiidae. The record is from RNAcentral.
GAGGUCUUAGUUUAAUAAAAGCGUCUGUUUUGCAUGCAGAAGAUGUGGGUUAGUAUCCUGUAGAUCUUA